Non-coding RNA from Chelonoidis abingdonii (Abingdon island giant tortoise), 99 nucleotides. Lineage: Eukaryota; Metazoa; Chordata; Testudines; Testudinidae. The record is from RefSeq and is a predicted model, not a curated record.
CCUGUUUAGCCGGUCCGCCCUUGCUGGGGGACCCGAACAUUUUUUUCAUCAGGGCCCGAACCCGCUCUCGGUGGCCCUGACUUGGGAUGCCUGUAAUUU